This 492-nucleotide ribosomal RNA is filed under the name uncultured bacterium. RNAcentral's name for it is "partial 16S ribosomal RNA". It matches the Rfam family "Bacterial small subunit ribosomal RNA", at positions 29 to 507 of the family's 1533-position model. The record is from RNAcentral.
AGUGAACGCUGGCGGUAGGCCUAACACAUGCAAGUCGAACGGCAGCACAGUAAGAGCUUGCUCUUACGGGUGGCGAGUGGCGGACGGGUGAGGAAUACAUCGGAAUCUACUUUUUCGUGGGGGAUAACGUAGGGAAACUUACGCUAAUACCGCAUACGACCUACGGGUGAAAGCAGGGGAUCUUCGGACCUUGCGCGAUUGAAUGAGCCGAUGUCGGAUUAGCUAGUUGGCGGGGUAAAGGCCCACCAAGGCGACGAUCCGUAGCUGGUCUGAGAGGAUGAUCAGCCACACGGGAACGUAGACACGGUCCAGACGCCUACGGGAGGCAGCAGUGGGGAAUAUUGGACAAUGGGCGCAAGCCUGAUCCAGCCAUACCGCGUGGGUGAAGAAGGCCUUCGGGUUGUAAAGCCCUUUUGUUGGGAAAGAAAAGCAGCAGGUUAAUACCCCGCUGUUCUGACGGUACCCAAAGAAGAAGCACCGGCUAACUUCGUG